This 1294-nucleotide long non-coding RNA is filed under the name Cyanistes caeruleus (blue tit). RNAcentral describes it as "lncRNA (ENSCCEG00000012956.1)". The record is from RNAcentral. Lineage: Eukaryota; Metazoa; Chordata; Aves; Passeriformes; Paridae.
UUUGUAAUUAGAGUGAGUACAUGGUGCUUCCUCACUGGGGAAAAAAAAAAGAGAUGAGCAGCUGUCUCAGCAAUAUUGAAGUCAGCGAGGACUCCCAAUGAAAUCAGAUACUCAUCUGCAGAGAGAACAAGUCCCGUACAUCCAUCAGCCAGGCAUGUGUCACAGCUAGUUGAAGAGAAAUGACUUUUAGAAAGUUAAGCUUCCUCUGAAACCUCAGUACAUCUAUUAAUAAGGGAGAAUGAAAAGAAGACUAGAAAAUAAACUAGAAAUACAAGCAGUAGUCACCUGAGGCUGCACAUGAUUAACUUCACUAAAGCCCAUUACAUGCCUCUACAAGGAGAAAAUUCAAAUACUUUAUUGCAUUAGCUAAUGGUAAAAAUAAACUAGUGUGGCUUACAUACUAACAUGUAACAAUUUCAAGACUCAAACAAUUAUUUGAAACCUGAUUCUGACUUUACACCCAUUCUACGUUGGAUUAACUGCAUUUCUAUCGAGAUAAAUUUCAGUGGAGUUGUGCACACAUCCAUCAAUUUAAACAGACAGAGAUGCACCCAAGCUUUUGUCUAAGCUCUGAAGAUAUACUCUUAAAAAAUACUAGGCCUUGUCCAAAGAACUAAGAGUUCUAAGUUUUAUCCUGCACUGUGCAAAUACUAUUUUACUGUGGCAAGGCAAUGUCUUCAAGAUGAUCAGUAAAGAAGCCUGGGAGCCAGAAUAAUAAGCACCAUUUUCAAUAGAUGCUGACUUACAAGGUCUGAGAGACAGGGAAAUUCACACAACUGGGUCUUUUCCCUCUGUUCUGCUGCUAGCACUGUGCCUCAUAUCUAUUCUGCACAGCAGCUCAUCUUUGCUCUCACUCCAGGACCCCAUCUGCCAGACGUAACCGGUCACCGCCGCAUCGGCAGCCAUGCCCACGAGACAGCAGGGACAGCACGUACCUUUCCCCUGGCACAUCCCAGAUUUGGCAAUAUUGCAACUGGAAUUUGCUUUGAAUGAAGACUAAGGACUGAAUGCCACCUUAAUCUCUCUCUGAAGAAAAGCAAUGUUGGGAAAUGCCUGGAAAUGAAGGUCCUUGAUUCACUACUUCCUUCCAUGGCAGCUCACGCUGCCUUUACCCUGCUUCUAAGCCUUAGAUUCUAAUAUUCAUGUAUAUUUCUAACUGUGUCCAAAUCCAAACAGUAAAAAUAGUCUUUUUCUUUAGAACAUGAUAACCUCAGGUAAAAAAUGUUUUGACUUCUGUGAUAUGUGAAAUCUGGACCUAUUUUAAAUAAGGCCAUCUCUACUUAAAACCUGUCUC